This 3858-nucleotide long non-coding RNA is filed under the name Volvox carteri. RNAcentral's name for it is "long non-coding RNA (VCAR_LNC001852)". Lineage: Eukaryota; Viridiplantae; Chlorophyta; Chlorophyceae; Chlamydomonadales; Volvocaceae. The record is from RNAcentral.
GUGCGGUUGUAUUCGGAUCUCUGUGAGCGGUGUGUGCCGGUAGUGGCGGCCAAGGGUUUCGUGCCGCCAACGGCGGCGGCGGGUGUAGCAGCGGCGGCGGGUGCAGCAGCAACAGCACCCGCUGCUGGUAGUGGUAAGGCGCCUGUGGUGGCGGGGGUGUAGGGACGGAGGAAAGUACAGAGGGUGGGAGAUGGAGGCCACAGGGGUUCGACAGGUGGGCAACUAGGCCCUCUUCUCUGUUUGUGUGUGUGUGUGUGCAUGUGUGUGUAUGUGUGUGUAUAUGCGUGUGUACGGGGAAGGCGGGAAAGUGGAAAUGGUGGCGAUGGUUGUUGACGGUGUGCUACCCGGGCAUGCGAGGUUGAAUCAAUCCAGGUGGUGUAGGUGUUGUUGUUGUUGUUUGUCUUAAGACGUAGGAUUGGCCAAAAUCUUGAAUUGGGUACUGUUCGGGAGAUAGGGGCGUGAUGUGUGUGUGGCACACGCGCGUCCCGCGUUCGAUACCGAAUGUGUCUUCAGACGGCACGCGGCGUUGGUGCCCCUGUUAUUACUGCUGCUGCUGCUGCGUAUAUCCUUUUCCUUUGCUUAUAAACCGCGAGGUGGUUCCGCGGCUGGCUAGGUGUUGGGGGUAUUUCAGGGACAGGUUGGCAAGGGGAUGGGCGGGAGGGGGCACCUGAAACCAGGACAAGCUGUUUAUACGGAAGGUGUACGGAACUGAUUCGAAAGGAAAGGUGAAAGCUAUAUCCUAUGGUGGGUCUAGGGAUGUGCGUGAUUGCGACUCUGUGUGUGUGUGUGUUUAUGUGCGAGUGAGAAUACAUCUUAUUUGAGUUAGGUUCACUUUAGGGAUAUGCUGUGUGGGUGUACGUAUGUAUGUAUGUAUCUAUGUAUGUUGUCUAUGUAUGUAUGUUUUGUAGGUGUAUGUGCCCCUCUCUGCCUCCUCCUUUUGGAAUGGGGGUGAUGAUGAAAGGCGAGAAGGGGAAGCUGUGCGUUUUAAAAUUCGCUGCGUUGCAUCGCGUGCUGUGUUUGGGCCGGGUCGGGGAUGGGGUGUGUGCGAAAUCGGGGAUGGGGGUUUGUGUGGGUUGGUGAGCAGCCGGUGGGCUAUACAAGAGGCGCACGUGAGAAAUUCAAGUGGCCAGGGCGGAGAGGCGAAUGGAGGAACAGUUCCUAUGGAGGUGCAGGAGGAAAAUAUUUGUGAAGAGUGUGUGUAUACCGAAGGGUGUGUUAAGGAAGAUUAGCAGGUCAAGGUGAUCACUGAUGAGAGUCUGCGCACAAAAGAUUCACUGGGAUGGAAGACGGAUGAAAGGAUUUCCAGGUCUGUCGGGCGAAGCAGCAACCAGUCCUGGACAUUCUUUCCUUGUGGAUUCUAGCCUCUACCCAAGCAUAAAAGAUACGGAUUUUGCAACGAAGCCAAGUUUAUGAGACCCGUCCUUCAGGAAACAAAACACGGGGUGACGUGCAACGAUGGAAUAAAGGGAAAACAGCAAAUCCCCUAGAUGGAAAAAGGCAACAAACAAAACAUAAUUGACGACCCAGCCACAUCACUGUAUCAUACCUGUGGUGUGUGGAUGAUCUAUGCGCGCGCAAGCUCUCAUGGAUACGCGCUUCCUAACACCAUGCAACCACUCUAACCGCCUGUCAAGAACGAAUAAAACGAAUCCUGUUAUAACGCUGAACUCUAACGGCCACGGGUGGAAAACACAAACAAAAUCCUAAAAAUCGGUCAGUCGCUCGUGGAAUUGGAUAUUGGGACCCUCAGUCGGUAUUACGACAAUCUCCCCAAGCAUCGCUAAGCUCGUUUACACGUCGGUCACGAGUCCGAGACCCACUCCAGCGCUCACACCUCCUCUCUAGUUUACCAAGGAAGCAGCGCGCCCGGGACAAAGUGAGCUGCCUGCCUUUGGCAAUGUUUGGCAGGGAGACGCGUGCGGGUGAAGGUUCUGAUCAAAACCGCCCCCUCGAAAUCUUCCCUUUCCCAACGUUCGGUAUUCGCUCGUCCCGAGACACUUAAUUUGGAGGCUGCACUGAAGGCGGUCGCUGCGUGUCCUCCUGCUGCUGCUGCUCCUGAGCCGCAAGCACGUCCUCGGCCCGGAGCCUUGUCCGCUGCGCACCACUUUGCAGCUCCUGUCCGGUUUGCUGUGCCCGGGCGUCUGCAUCAACCUGAAAGUGGUAAACACGGUUGCGCACAGAAAAUUAGAUGCUAUCUGUGGAGGCAUAGUGCGGGGAUGAUUGUGAUAGGAUUGCGCCUUGCAAAACGGGUGGCCGACGCGGAAAACAUUGAAGCGCUCACCAAGUCGGCAGGCUCUUCCAAGCCUUUCAUAAUCGCUAGAGCUCCUACGAAGGUCGCGCCGACUGUGGCACCGACUGCAAAAAGGAAAUUAACAGCCAGUCAGCAAGGCUACUACCACAACGUCUCCCUGUCAGAGCCUUAGGUUGCGAUAUACUGGACUAUCAUACCUAACGCAGCAGCGCUACCCACGCUGACCCAAAUAGUUGAGGCAUCCUCAACGCCGGUCGGCAUUUUCUUGAAAUAUCCAAGAGCUUCAGGCUUUCACAUUACCUAUAUCCGCAUAAAUCAUACUGUGCACAAAGUCUGGAAAGAUGGAUUUGCUGCUUUUGAUGUGCGUCGCUUUUUCGCAUAUGACCCACGGACGCUCAGCAUGGGCUAACGGAGAAAACUGUGUCACACCCAUACGCACGAUCUCCAUCCUUCAAAAUCUUCCUGCAUUCCUACAUCAUCCAAUUAAAAGAUCGAUACUCACCGUAACAUUAGCAGCUGAAACUGUAUGCUUCUCUUAGCUGGAGGGGAUCACCAAGGCGCGUAAUCCACCGUAAAUUUGACAGAUUGACAUUUCCAUGCUGGCUCAAACGCUCAAACACAACCAAACCUCAAUAUUUAUAAAUAAUGCAGGGCAUACAAAAUCACCAGCAGCCUCGGUGUAGACGGCUUAACAUCGGUGCAUACGGCUUAACCCAGCACUCGUUAGUCUUCCAAGAUACGUUCGCGCAAUUAAUGUCCUGCCGUACCAUACCAUAUGCAACCUCCACUCGUCCCGGACAGACACCACCAGACGCACACCCCUCAACGCACGCCGUGGGUGGAAUGGGACGCGGGCCUAAGCCUGAAUCCAACGGCUCAACCUUCCCUUCCGCCUUCUUGUUGUUGUUAUUACAGCGGGCUACCAAGUUUCUAUACCGUAAUGCAAAGAAACCGAGCAGGGCACAUCACCUGUCGUUCAUUCCACUGGGUUCUGGAUCCUAUUUCGUCCUACCGGACGUACGGGACCGACUCCUGAAACAUCAAUUAUCGAAUGAUUGGGUGCGUGCGACGGUGCCGAUGCCGGACACUGUGUGGCAAGAAGAAAAGAGGACGGAGAAAACCUGAGGCUUCAAAUCCGGCAUUGGCUUUAUCGUGCAGAAAUGCGCACACACGUGCUUCGCAGCAGGACGAGGGGGCCGGGCAUGUGAAAUCGCUUUGGACUUCAUUGACUAAUCCGUUAGGUAACGAUUGUAGAUGGCGAGUGUGGUGCGCGGUGUUCGGGCUCUGGGUGGUCGGUGGCGAUGUUGCCAGAUACGGCGCAGCGUGUGACUGAUGUCGUCGCUGUGAGAGUUUCCUAUGAUACGUAGGUAGGUUAAAAGGUAGCUUUUACUGGGCUUGUGGCCCAGGAGCCCCGUGGCUGUUGUUACGCACUACGCCCUGGUUCAAUUCAACAGGGGACCACAAACGGGGCCGCUUAAGGCACAUGAUCAGUCAAUCAUGCCUCUGCAAAGCGCUUUGAAAUGUGCAAGCGUUUGGCCAAAGCGCAUAUUAAGCGUUUAUUAAACGGGAUGCGCACAUGGCUCUAUUGGGGGCAGACAAUUUUGCAG